Molecule: non-coding RNA, 117 nt
Filed under: Gorilla gorilla gorilla (western lowland gorilla)
Lineage: Eukaryota; Metazoa; Chordata; Mammalia; Primates; Hominidae
Source: Rfam by way of RNAcentral
GCCGGGUGUGGUGGCUCACACCUGUAAUCCCAGCACUUUGGGAGGCCGAGGCAGGUGGAUCUCCUGAGGUCAGGAGUUCGAGACCAGCCUGGCCAACAUGGUGAAACCCUGUCUCUA